Molecule: long non-coding RNA, 872 nt
Organism: Dermacentor andersoni
Lineage: Eukaryota; Metazoa; Arthropoda; Arachnida; Ixodida; Ixodidae
Source: RefSeq, a predicted model, not a curated record
CCCAGCGGUCGAUUUAGGCACCACUGGCCUCCUUGAAGCCCUUGGGUUCACAGGGAGCAGUGGUAAAGCAAGCAUGUCUGCAAUAGACAUUAGUAAGAGGCGACUGGAGGAUUGGUGGAAGAAAAGUAGGGAAACGACAAAAGACGGAGACGUACAAAAGCACAGUUCGCAAUAGGGGAUCAGAAAAUUUGGGCGUGGUAGUUCAGAGUGUUUUUUUUUUCUUUCUUCAUUGUGUAACCUAGGUAGGAUAUUAGGCAGUACAGUAGCAAGAGCUUGGUGGCGCAACCCACCGCCCCGUUCCAAAGGGGACGCUCAUAACAUCCAUCCAUCCAUCCAUCCGGAUAGAGACACUGGAAAAAAUUUCAGAGUAUCGCAUUUGUUUUCCGCGCGCCGCCGCCUGCCCCGGCCACCGGUGAUUGGGUUACUCGUGUCACGUGACCUUUUGUCGCCAUUUCCCUUCCAAGUGCUUUCAAGGCACGUCGAACACAAAGGGGACGCAACGUGUACGGAGAGCGUGCACUUUGCGGCUGGCGACAGCACUUUGUUUUUGGCGAACACACAGGCGACAGAAGUUACCGUAACAUUGUGCCUGGUUGCUGCGCCUUCGCGUGCAGCAACCAAACGGAGUCCAGAAAGGCAUUUUUCUGCCUUCCAUGCGGAAAGGACGACCGGGAUCGACGUUCUGCGUGGCUGCACAGAAUUGGCCGCGAAAGCUUCGCGCCCUCGAACACCCUAAUGUGCGAGGAUGCCAAUCUUGCUGACAAUACAAAGCAAGUCGGAGACUUGUGGAGUCCUGGAAUGAGGACACCACCCACUCGACCUCAAGAGCAACCACCUCGAUGGUCCGAAUAAAUGUUUUUUAUCUCUCUCUC